RNAcentral lists this ribosomal RNA (522 nucleotides) under uncultured Lactobacillus sp. RNAcentral describes it as "bacterial SSU rRNA". It matches the Rfam family "Bacterial small subunit ribosomal RNA", at positions 505 to 1035 of the family's 1533-position model. The record is from RNAcentral. Lineage: Bacteria; Bacillati; Bacillota; Bacilli; Lactobacillales; Lactobacillaceae.
GUGCCAGCCGCGGCGGUAAUACGUAGGUGGCAAGCGUUGUCCGGAUUUAUUGGGCGUAAAGGGAACGCAGGCGGUCUUUUAAGUCUGAUGUGAAAGCCUUCGGCUUAACCGAAGUCGUGCAUUGGAAACUGGGAGACUUGAGUGCAGAAGAGGAGAGUGGAACUCCAUGUGUAGCGGUGAAAUGCGUAGAUAUAUGGAAGAACACCAGUGGCGAAAGCGGCUCUCUGGUCUGUAACUGACGCUGAGGUUCGAAAGCGUGGGUAGCAAACAGGAUUAGAUACCCUGGUAGUCCACGCUGUAAACGAUGAAUGCUAAGUGUUGGAGGUUUCCGCCUUCAGUGCCGCAGCAAACGCAUUAAGCAUUCCGCCUGGGGAGUACGACGCAAGGUUGAAACUCAAAGGAAUUGACGGGGCCCGCACAAGCGGUGGAGCAUGUGGUUAAUUCGAAGCAACGCGAAGACCUUACAGGUCUGACAUCUUCUGAUAACCUAAGAGAUUAGGUGUUCCCUUGGGGACAGAUGAC